This 2815-nucleotide ribosomal RNA is filed under the name Acinetobacter baumannii 737393. Its description in RNAcentral is "bacterial LSU rRNA". It matches the Rfam family "Bacterial large subunit ribosomal RNA". The record is from RNAcentral. Lineage: Bacteria; Pseudomonadati; Pseudomonadota; Gammaproteobacteria; Moraxellales; Moraxellaceae.
UCAAGUAAUUAAGUGCAUGUGGUGGAUGCCUUGGCAGUCAGAGGCGAUGAAAGACGUGAUAGCCUGCGAAAAGCUCCGGGGAGGCGGCAAAUAUCCUUUGAUCCGGAGAUGUCUGAAUGGGGGAACCCACCUACUUUAAGGUAGGUAUUGCAACAUGAAUACAUAGUGUUGCAAGGCGAACGAGGGGAAGUGAAACAUCUCAGUACCCUUAGGAAAAGAAAUCAAUUGAGAUUCCCUCAGUAGCGGCGAGCGAACGGGGAUCAGCCCAUUAAGUUAUGUGUGUUUUAGUGGAACGCUCUGGGAAGUGCGAACGUAGAGGGUGAUAUUCCCGUACACGAAAGGGCACACAUAAUGAUGACGAGUAGGGCGAGGCACGUGAAACCUUGUCUGAAUAUGGGGGGACCAUCCUCCAAGGCUAAAUACUCCUGACUGACCGAUAGUGAACCAGUACCGUGAGGGAAAGGCGAAAAGAACCCCUGUGAGGGGAGUGAAAUAGAUCCUGAAACCGCAUGCAUACAAGCAGUGGGAGCACCUUCGUGGUGUGACUGCGUACCUUUUGUAUAAUGGGUCAGCGACUUAUAUUCAGUAGCGAGGUUAACCGUAUAGGGGAGCCGUAGAGAAAUCGAGUCUUAAUAGGGCGUUUAGUUGCUGGGUAUAGACCCGAAACCAGGCGAUCUAUCCAUGAGCAGGUUGAAGGUUGGGUAACACUAACUGGAGGACCGAACCCACUGUCGUUGAAAAGCCAGGGGAUGACUUGUGGAUAGGGGUGAAAGGCUAAUCAAGCCUGGUGAUAGCUGGUUCUCCCCGAAAGCUAUUUAGGUAGCGCCUCGGACGAAUACCAUAGGGGGUAGAGCACUGUUUCGGCUAGGGGGUCAUCCCGACUUACCAAACCGAUGCAAACUCCGAAUACCUAUGAGUACUAUCCGGGAGACAGACUGCGGGUGCUAACGUCCGUAGUCAAGAGGAAAACAAUCCAGACCGCCAGCUAAGGCCCCAAAAUCAUAGUUAAGUGGGAAACGAUGUGGGAAGGCAUAGACAGCUAGGAGGUUGGCUUAGAAGCAGCCACCCUUUAAAGAAAGCGUAAUAGCUCACUAGUCGAGUCGGCCUGCGCGGAAGAUGUAACGGGGCUAAAACUAUGUGCCGAAGCUGCGGAUGUAUACUUUGUAUACGUGGUAGGGGAGCGUUCUGUAAGCCGAUGAAGGUGUGUUGAGAAGCAUGCUGGAGGUAUCAGAAGUGCGAAUGCUGACGUGAGUAACGACAAAACGGGUGAAAAACCCGUUCGCCGAAAGACCAAGGGUUCCAGUCCAACGUUAAUCGGGGCUGGGUGAGUCGACCCCUAAGGCGAGGCCGAAAGGCGUAGUCGAUGGGAAAAUGGUUAAUAUUCCAUUACUUCUGUGUAAUGCGAUGAGAGGACGGAGAAGGCUAAAUCAGCCUGGCGUUGGUUGUCCAGGUGAAAGGAUGUAGGCAUGUAUCUUAGGCAAAUCCGGGGUACUCUAUGCUGAGAUCUGAUAGCAAGCUGUACUUGUACAGCGAAGUGGUUGAUGCCAUGCUUCCAGGAAAAGUCUCUAAGCUUCAGUUACACAGGAAUCGUACCCGAAACCGACACAGGUGGUCAGGUCGAGUAGACCAAGGCGCUUGAGAGAACUCUGCUGAAGGAACUAGGCAAAAUGGUACCGUAACUUCGGGAGAAGGUACGCUGUUGUUGGUGAUGGAACUCGCUUCCUGAGCUGACGACAGCCGCAGAAACCAGGCCGCUGCAACUGUUUAUUAAAAACAUAGCACUCUGCAAACACGAAAGUGGACGUAUAGGGUGUGAUGCCUGCCCGGUGCUGGAAGGUUAAUUGAUGGGGUUAGCGUAAGCGAAGCUCUUGAUCGAAGCCCCAGUAAACGGCGGCCGUAACUAUAACGGUCCUAAGGUAGCGAAAUUCCUUGUCGGGUAAGUUCCGACCUGCACGAAUGGCAUAAUGAUGGCGGCGCUGUCUCCAGCAGAGGCUCAGUGAAAUCGAAAUCGCUGUGAAGAUGCAGUGUACCCGCGGCUAGACGGAAAGACCCCGUGAACCUUUACUGCAGCUUGACACUGAACUUUGACCUUACUUGUGUAGGAUAGGUGGGAGGCUUUGAAGCUGGAACGCUAGUUCCAGUGGAGCCGUCCUUGAAAUACCACCCUGGUAAUGUUGAGGUUCUAACUCUGUCCCGUGAUCCGGGACGAGGACCGUGUCUGGUGGGUAGUUUGACUGGGGCGGUCUCCUCCUAAAGAGUAACGGAGGAGUACGAAGGUGCGCUCAGCGUGGUCGGAAAUCACGCGUAGAGUAUAAAGGCAAAAGCGCGCUUAACUGCGAGACCCACAAGUCGAGCAGGUACGAAAGUAGGUCUUAGUGAUCCGGUGGUUCUGUAUGGAAGGGCCAUCGCUCAACGGAUAAAAGGUACUCUGGGGAUAACAGGCUGAUACCGCCCAAGAGUUCAUAUCGACGGCGGUGUUUGGCACCUCGAUGUCGGCUCAUCUCAUCCUGGGGCUGAAGCAGGUCCCAAGGGUAUGGCUGUUCGCCAUUUAAAGAGGUACGCGAGCUGGGUUUAGAACGUCGUGAGACAGUUCGGUCCCUAUCUACCGUGGGCGCUGGAAAUUUGAGAGGAUCUGCUCCUAGUACGAGAGGACCAGAGUGGACGAACCUCUGGUGUACCGGUUGUGACGCCAGUCGCAUCGCCGGGUAGCUAUGUUCGGAAGGGAUAACCGCUGAAAGCAUCUAAGCGGGAAGCCUACCUCAAGAUAAGAUUUCCCUAGGACUUUAUGUCCUCUAAAGAGCCGUUCGAGACUAGG